CUCAGAUUGAACGCUGGCGGCAGGCCUAACACAUGCAAGUCGAACGGUAACAGGAAGCAGCUUGCUGCUUUGCUGACGAGUGGCGGACGGGUGAGUAAUGUCUGGGAAACUGCCUGAUGGAGGGGGAUAACUACUGGAAACGGUAGCUAAUACCGCAUAACGUCGCAAGACCAAAGAGGGGGACCUUCGGGCCUCUUGCCAUCGGAUGUGCCCAGAUGGGAUUAGCUAGUAGGUGGGGUAACGGCUCACCUAGGCGACGAUCCCUAGCUGGUCUGAGAGGAUGACCAGCCACACUGGAACUGAGACACGGUCCAGACUCCUACGGGAGGCAGCAGUGGGGAAUAUUGCACAAUGGGCGCAAGCCUGAUGCAGCCAUGCCGCGUGUAUGAAGAAGGCCUUCGGGUUGUAAAGUACUUUCAGCGGGGAGGAAGGCGACAGGGUUAAUAACCCUGUCGAUUGACGUUACCCGCAGAAGAAGCACCGGCUAACUCCGUGCCAGCAGCCGCGGUAAUACGGAGGGUGCAAGCGUUAAUCGGAAUUACUGGGCGUAAAGCGCACGCAGGCGGUCUGUCAAGUCGGAUGUGAAAUCCCCGGGCUCAACCUGGGAACUGCAUUCGAAACUGGCAGGCUAGAGUCUUGUAGAGGGGGGUAGAAUUCCAGGUGUAGCGGUGAAAUGCGUAGAGAUCUGGAGGAAUACCGGUGGCGAAGGCGGCCCCCUGGACAAAGACUGACGCUCAGGUGCGAAAGCGUGGGGAGC
RNAcentral lists this ribosomal RNA (757 nucleotides) under uncultured Enterobacterales bacterium. Its description in RNAcentral is "bacterial SSU rRNA". It matches the Rfam family "Bacterial small subunit ribosomal RNA", at positions 23 to 769 of the family's 1533-position model. Lineage: Bacteria; Pseudomonadati; Pseudomonadota; Gammaproteobacteria; Enterobacterales. The record is from RNAcentral.